UCGAGAAUCUUCCGCAAUGGGCGAAAGCCUGACGGAGCGACGCCGCGUGCGGGAUGAAGGCCUUCGGGUUGUAAACCGCUGUCGAAGGGGAGCAAAUUUGAGCGAUCCUUGGAGGAAGCACAGGCUAAAUUCGUGCCAGCAGCCGCGGUAAUACGAAUUGUGCGAACGUUAUUCGGAAUCACUGGGCUUAAAGGGUGCGUAGGCGGUCAUGUAGGUCUGAUGUGAAAUCCCACGGCUCAACCGUGGAACUGCGUUGGAAACCCCAUGGCUGGAGUAGGACAGAGGUGAGCGGAACAGAUGGUGGAGCGGUGAAAUGCGUUGAUAUCAUCUGGAACACCGGUGGCGAAAGCGGCUCACUGGGUCUCUUCUGACGCUGAGGCACGAAAGCUAGGGUAGCGAACGGGAUUAGAUACCCAAGUAGUCCCUGAGCGGGCUGGCAAGGCGCAU
Molecule: ribosomal RNA, 447 nt
Filed under: uncultured bacterium
Lineage: Bacteria
Description: bacterial SSU rRNA
Rfam family: Bacterial small subunit ribosomal RNA
Source: RNAcentral